Molecule: RNA transcript, 5889 nt
Organism: Pogoniulus pusillus (Red-fronted tinkerbird)
Lineage: Eukaryota; Metazoa; Chordata; Aves; Piciformes; Lybiidae
Gene name: protein disulfide-isomerase TMX3-like
Exons: 11
Source: RefSeq, a predicted model, not a curated record
GUCCCCAGGGAGCUGCAGUGCCGGCAGUUAAGCACAGGGUGGCAGCAGCGAGCACGGUCCCCAGGGAGCUGCAGUGCCGGCAGUUAAGCACAGGGUGGCAGCAGUGAGCGCUGCGCGCAUGCGUUGGGUCGCUGUGCGGGGUGCGGAGCUGGCGCAUGCGUCCUGCUCUGCCGCCUCGUUACGCAUGCGGGGCCGGGGCCGUGCUGAGAGGCCUGCGGGGGGAAGGCUGCGGCGGCAGCGGCGUGGAGCGGCAGCGGGGCCGGGCCGGGCCGAGGAGGGCUUUGCAGUGCCGCACACGCUCAGAGGACAGGUCCCUGGAUUGCAGUGCUGCUCCAAUGGCCUGUGGUGGCUGCAGGCAGCCGCGGCCCGGGGAGCCCAAGACUCAGCGUGUGGAAGGGUUGGGAGCAGCCCUGGGUGCCUGCAAGGAUUCGGGAGGCCUGAGCAGGUCUGAAACCCUGCCACGGAGAGGCACAGGCCCCGCAGCAGUGCCUGCAUUUCAGCAGCUGCCCAUCGGAGCUAAGCACAGCCUCGGCUCAGAGCUCAGGAGCAUGUCUGCUGGGCAGUGCUGGGGGCCAGGCGUCCCUCCUGUGUGUGCAUGGCCCACAUGGCAGCACCCUGCAGUCAGAGCUGACUGUGUGCACUGGAGGUGGAGUGUUGGAGUGGGAUCAGCUCAGAGCUCUGCAAGGUUUGCACUUUGCUUUCCACUCCACUGGCCAAGCCAGCCAGAUGUGCAGCAGCAGCAGGAUGGGCACGAGGGCCCCAGCUGCUGCGGUGAAUCCGUCAGCACGGACGCUGGUGCCGCUGCAGCCUGGCCCUGCAGCCUGGCAGGGUGAUCUCCUUUGGCUCGGCUCCUGUGGGCUCCAGAUGCUAACAGAGCAGCUGGAUGAGCAGAAAGCCUCUCGUGCAAACGGCUGUGGAGUGCUUCUCUCUGUUCCCUGCUGCUGGGAGGUGCUGACAGGUUAGGGUUUGCAGGGAGGCAGAUCUCGUGGAGAAGGGCUGAACUCACUGUGCAAGGACACUGCACAAUCCAGUGUGGAUCAAAAGCGAGUGACAACUUUAUUUAGUAGCCACACGCUUAUAUGUGUUACAGAUAAUUUAUGCAUACAUGUAAGAAGCUAAAUGGCUGAAUCCCUAAAUACCCCAUUUGCUCUGCUUGAGUUGUCUGCUGACUCAUCAAGGACAGUGCCUCCCUGGCUAGUUAUAUUAAAUGCUGCCUUUGUUUAUUCAAUAUGUCUUUGUUUCUGUGUGGCCUAGCACAGCCUUAAUUUAGUUCCAUAUACUCAUCCUGCUUGCCCACUUCUAAGUCAUGUCCAUUUUCCUUUAGCCAUUCUGCAACAAGGGUUAGUGGAGGGGUGUGAAGAAUUUGCAGGGAUCUCUAAGGGUCUGCAGACCCCUUUGAAAGGUCUGAAGUUGUCUGUAGAUGUCUCUAGGGUGCUGCAGGGGCCUGCAGGCACCUCUUAAAUGUCUGGAGGGGUCUGUAGCUGUCUGUAGAGGUCUCUAGAGGUCUCUAGAGCUUUGUAGAGGAAUGUGGGUGCCUGCAGCUGUCUCUAGGGGUGUGUGGAGGUCUGCAGGCACCUUUCAAAUGUCUGGAGGGGUCUGCAGAGCUCUGGCAGGGUCUGUAGAUUUUGGCAGGGUUCUGUAGGAGUCUCUGGGCAACUUUUAAAGGUGUGGAGGGGUCUGCAGGUGCCUGUUGAGCUUUGUCCAUGUGUGUGGUGGUGUGUAGGUGAGUGUGGGUGUCUGCAGAGGUGUGAAGGGGUCUGUAGCUAUUUGUCAGGGUCUGAGAGAGUCUGCAGAGGUCUGUAGAGUUGAGUAGGUGUUUGGAGAUUUCUGUGUGGGUCUGUAGGUGCCUGCAGGCAUCAUUGAAGGCUCUGGAGAGGUCUGUAGAUGUGUGCAGGGGUCUGUUAAAUAUCUGGAGGGGUCUGGAUGGGUGUGGGGAGCUCUGUAGGGGUCUGUAUGUGUUUGCAGGCAGCUGCAGGGGUCCGUAGAUGCCUGUAGGGAUUUGCAGGACUCUGUUAGUUCUCUGUAGAGGUCUGCCUGGGUCUGGAGGUGCCUUUUAAUGGGUCUGUGGAGGUCUGGAGGGCUCUGCAGUGGUCUGUUAAAGGUGUGGAGGGGUCUGUAGGUGUCUGCAUUCAGUGAAGGAGUUCUUUGGCUCCAGGACACUUUAGUCCAGUGUCUCUAAAGUGUGACUGUCCCAAAUGAGAUAGAGGUGCACUGGCAGCGUGUUUGCAGAUGGCCCCAAGCUGAGUGGUGCUGGAGAGCAAGCAGAGGGGCAGGAUGGCAUCCAGGAAACACCUGGGCAGGCAGGGGAGCUGGGCCCAGGCGAAGCUUGUGAGGUUCCAGGAGAGCAAGGGCAGGGUGCUGCGUGUGGGCGGGAGGAAGCCUGCCUGUGCCUGCGGGCUGGGGGCGGAGGCGAUAAAGAGCAGCCCUGGGGGUGCUGGGGAGAAGCUGAGUGCGAGCACAUGGUGUGAGCUUGCAGGCCAGGAGGAGCCUGUCGGUGUCUGCAGGGGUGUGCAAGCAGCUGUAGGAGUCUGCCCAGGUCUGUUGGUGUCUGCAGGGGUCUUCUAAAAGGCCUGGAGGCUUUUCUGAGUGUGCAGAGGUGUGCGGGGGUCUGGAGGCAUCUGUAGGUACCCUUAGGGGCCUGGAGGGCUCUCUGGGUGUCUGUGGAGCUCUCUGGGUGUCUGUGGAGGUGGUUAGGGGUCUGUAGAGGUGUCUGUGGUGCUGUAGGUGUCUCAAAAGGCUGUGAAGGUCUUGAGGUGCCUUGCAAAGGUCUCGAGGUGUCUGUAGGGGUCUGCAGGGUUCUCUGGCAGUCUGUAGAGGUCUGUGGGGGUCUCUAGGGGCCUCUUAAAGACAUGCAGGGGUCUGCAGGGCUCUAUGGAAAGGUCGGGAGGGGUCCCUAGAGGUCUCUAGGAGGCUGGAGGGGUGUGCAAGUGUCUGUAGCAUUCAGCAGGUGUGUGGAGGUUUCUGUUCUGGGCCCGCAGGUGUCUGCAGGCAUCUUGUAAAGGUCUGCAGGGGUCUGUGGAGCUCUGUCAGGCAUCUGUUAAGUGUCUGCAGGAAUCCAUUGAAGGUGUGGAGGGGGCUGCAGGGCUCUGCAGAGGAGGCUGUGGCUGUGUGUAGAGGUCUUAGGGGUGUGAAGAGUUUGCAGGGGUCUGUAAGGGUCUGCAGAGCCCUUGGAAAGGUCUGAAGUUGUCUGUAGGAGUCUGGAGAUGUCUCUAGGGCACUGCAGGGCUCUGCAGGGGUCUGCUGCUGCGGGAGGAGUGGGCUGGCGGAGCCACGCCCCCCGGGCUGCGGAGCCACGCCCCCUCCCUGGCCUUUCUUGCCUGGCUCUGGUUACUGCCUGUUUAUUUGCAUAGCCACACCCCUUUCCAUAGCCCCGCCCCCGCCCCACAGUAACUAAUUAUAUGGUGACAGAUUUGGAGCUUCCUUUGGAGGAGGAGUUCAGGAGGUGGCUGCUGAUUGGUGGAUUGUGAUGGGCGUGGUUUGCCGCUUGUUCUGCCUCCCUCAUUUGCAUACAUUUCAAUAUCAGGCUCUGCCUUUGAGUACCUUGGAGAUGGGUUGGGGGUUGGGGAGGGGUUACCGGGAGGGUCAGCAGCUGAUUGGUGGAUCCUGUGGGGGCUGUGGGCAUGGUCACCCCUGUGCCCCGCCCCCUCAUUUGCAUAAAUGAAGGCAGGGUCCACCUGGCAGAGUUUGGUGCUUUAUUGGGGGGGGGACUGGUUAGGACGGGGAGGGUCAGCAGCUGAUUGGUGCAUCCUCUGGCGUGGGCGGGGCCUGCCCCUGCCCCUCCGAAGUGCUCGAUGGUCUCCAGCACAGCCCCAGCAGCUCCAGGAAGGAGGAGACCUCCCCCCGCAGGCCUCCAGCCCCCCGGGAGACCCAGAGCCUGCAGGGGGAGGGCUCAGGGACCCCCAGACCCUCCCAGGGACCUCCAGUAACCUCCCAGGGACCUCUGAUGACCUCUCGGGGACCCCCAGACCCUCCCAGGGACCCGCAGACCCGCCCACUGGCCUCCCAGAGACCCCCACUCACCUCCUUGUAUGCCCCCACUAAUCCCCCAGCCCCUCCCCGUCCCCGCCCAGCGCCCCCCAGUGCCCACUCAGGCCCUCAGCUUGUCCCCGCAGCACUGCAGCCUGGCCUGGGGGCGCUGCUGAGGCCUCCCCCCGGGCCGGGCUGGGGCUGCAGGCCUGGGCCCAGCGCCCUCAGUGCCACCUGUGCCAGGCCAGCAGGCAGCGGCAGCAGCACCUCCCUGGCAGGGCAGGUCAAGGAGCCUCGGGGGAGGGACCCCAGCACCCCCCAGCGUCUCCCCAGUCCCCUCCCAGCGUCUCCCCAGUCCCCUCCCACUGCUCCCAGUCCCCCCCAGGCACCCCUGGGACUCUCUACGGCACCCACAGACCCUUCCCCUCCCCCCCCCAGCCACCUCUGACCCCCGUCAAAACCUCACCCGGGGACCCCCAUGACACCCCCAGACCCUCCCUCUGCUCCACUGCCCCCUCCCCCCAGCCACCUCGGACCCUUCCCAAGGCGCCCCCAAACCCCCCCAACCCCGGGGCCGCCUACAACACCCCCAGACCCUCCCCCUACCCCCUUCAGCCACUUCGGACCCCCCCAAGCGCCCCUGGCAACCACUGACUCAUCCCCACACCCUCCCCCCACUGCUCGCCCCCCCCCAGCCACCUCAUCCCCCCCCCGGGACUCCUCAAACCCCCCUGGGGCCCCCCCGAAGCCCCUCUGGGACUCUCCAAAACCCCCCAGCCCCUUCCCCCGCCCCCCCCGAGCCCUCUCGGACCCCUCCCGGGACCCCCCAACUCCGCCUAAGACCCCCCCGGGGCUGGGUACAGCCGCAGCAGCUCGCUCCGCGCCGCCAUCUUGCCUCCGUGUCGUCACUUCCGGCUGGCAGGCGACGCUCUGGGCCGCUCCUCUCGCUGGUCAAAGCCGCUCUAGGCCUCCGAGGUCCUCCAGGCGCCACUGCGAGCGGCUCCGGGCCAAAGCAAUGACUGUGCUCAGCUGCAGGGAUGGAUUUGCCUGCACUCAAGCUGCUGCUGCCAGAGCCCCUCCGUGUCAAUCUGUGCUGCCGUUGGGUUCUGCAGCUCUCUCCAGCAAGCACGGCAUGAGCUGAAGGAGCAGCAGGAGCAGCAUGGCCGUUCCCCAGGCAGCAGGAGGGUUCAGCCCAGCACCAGCUCAUGCGGGAGGAGCAGAUGCUGAGGAACAUCCCCCACGAGACGCAGGUGGCCAAAGAGGCUGGGUCAGGUGCCAAAAAGGAGACCUUCUUCACCUGCUUCUCCUGUGCAAGCUCUUCUGUCUGUCUGCUGAGAUGUUUCUGCCUGUUUCUCUGGCAGAGAAGUGUUUGCUUUUUUGGCUGGCGAGCUGACCAUCCGUACUACCGUCGCCUUGAAUGCCUCCAACCAGCAGUGUUUGCUGCCAGACAGACACCUGGAGAAGACAGAGGACAUGGUUAAGUUCAUGGAGGAUAUCUUGGAUGGUGCUGCUGAAGCACAGGCUGGUGAUGGACUUCUGCAACGAAGCAAGAGAGUCAUCUAUGAGGCCAAGGCUGCUGUAAUGAUAAACCAAGAGCAAGUGCGACUGAAAGAGCUUUGCAGGUAACAACUCUGUGACCCUGUUUGGAGAGUUUUGAAUUGGUCAUUGCCAGCGAGAUCAAGAAAGCAGGAGUCAGCCACCUGCCACCCAUCCCCUCCUGACCCCAACCCCAGAAACCCAAAGCAGCACUUGGCACAGGAGGUCUCUCGUGUUGCAGUCUCAACUUCAAGCCCUGGAAUACUUUGCUUCAGCCAGCAGCAUGGGGUUGGAUCCCAACAGCAGAGUCGACUUAACCUGUGACUAAGUGAACUUUAAGUGUUCUGACUCCACAGUGGAACCUGAUAAAGAAAGAUGUGAAUGGAA